RNAcentral lists this ribosomal RNA (475 nucleotides) under Acrapex njombea. Its description in RNAcentral is "partial 16S large subunit ribosomal RNA". Lineage: Eukaryota; Metazoa; Arthropoda; Insecta; Lepidoptera; Noctuidae. The record is from RNAcentral.
UGUCUUUUUGAAAAUAAUAUAAAGUCUAAUCUGCCCACUGAUUGGAUAUUGAAGGGCUGCAGUAUAUUGACUGUACAAAGGUAGCAUAAUCAUUAGUCAUUUAAUUGAUGACUUGUAUGAAAGAUUGGAUGAAAUAUGAACUGUCUUUUAUUUAAUUAUAAAAUUUAAUUUUUUUAUUAAAAAGUUAAAAUAUUUUAAAAAGACGAGAAGACCCUAUAGAGUUUUAUAAAUUAUUAAAUUGAGAUUAUAUUAAAAGUAAAUUUAAAAUUAAAUUUAUUUAUUUUGUUGGGGUGAUAAAAAAAUAUAAAAAACUUUUUUUAUUGAUAAACAUUUAUAAGUGGUUAAAUGAUCCAGUAAUAUUGAUUAUAAGAAAAAAUUACCUUAGGGAUAACAGCGUAAUUUUUUUUUUUAGUUCAAAUAAUAAAAAGAGUUUGCGACCUCGAUGUUGGAUUAAGAUAAAAUUUAAAUGCAGAAG